CUGCCGGACCUGACUGCUAUCGGAUUGAUACUAAGCCAUGCGAGUCUUUGUAGCAAUACAAGGCAGACGGCUCAGUAACACGUAGUCAAUCUACCCUAUGGACGAGGAUAACCUCGGGAAACUGAGAAUAAUACUCGGUAGUUCAUGAUGCCUGGAAUGGCUCAUGGACCAAAUGAUUUAUCGCCGUAGGAUGGGACUGCGGCCUAUCAGUUUGUGGGUGGGGUAAUGGCCCACCAAGACGAUUACAGGUACGGGCUCUGAGAGGAGUAGCCCGGAGAUGGGUACUGAGACACGGACCCAGGCCCUAUGGGGCGCAGCAGGCGAGAAAACUUUGCAAUGUGCGAAAGCACGACAAGGUUAAUCCGAGUGACUUCUGCUAAAGAAAUCUUUUGUUAGUCGUAGAACCACUGAUGAAUAAGGGGUGGGCAAGUUCUGGUGUCAGCCGCCGCGGUAAAACCAGCACCUCAAGUGGUCAGGAGGAUUACUGGGCCUAAAGCAUCCGUAGCCUGCUGUAUCAGUUUUCGGUUAAAUCUAUGCGCUCAACGUAUGGGCUGCCGAGAAUACUGUAUAGCUAGGGAGUGGGAGAGGUAGACGGUACUCGGUAGGAAGGGGUAAAAUCCUUUGAUCUAUUGAUGACCACCUGUGGCGAAGGCGGUCUACCAGAACACGUCCGACGGUGAGGGAUGAAAGCUGGGGGAGCAAACCGGAUUAGGUACCCGGGUAGUCCCAGCUGUAAACUAUGCAAACUCAGUGAUGCAUUGGCUUGUGGCUAGUGCAGUGCCGCAGGGAAGCCGUUAAGUUUGCCGCCUGGGAAGUACGUACGCAAGUAUGAAACUUAAAGGAAUUGGSGGG
Molecule: ribosomal RNA, 852 nt
Filed under: uncultured crenarchaeote
Lineage: Archaea; Thermoproteati; Thermoproteota
Description: bacterial SSU rRNA
Rfam family: Archaeal small subunit ribosomal RNA
Source: RNAcentral